Non-coding RNA from Macaca mulatta (Rhesus monkey), 142 nucleotides. Lineage: Eukaryota; Metazoa; Chordata; Mammalia; Primates; Cercopithecidae. The record is from Rfam.
GACCCCAAAGAUGGCGAACUAUGCCUGAGGAGGGCGAAGCCAGAGGACACUCUGGUGGAGGUCCAUUGCGGUCCUGUCCUGCAAAUCCAUCGUCCGACCUGGGUAUAGGGGUGAAAGACUAAUUGAGCCAUCUACUAGCUGG